GAUGAACGCUGACAGAAUGCUUAACACAUGCAAGUCAACUUGAACUUCGGUUUGGGUGGCGGACGGGUGAGUAACGCGUAAAGAACUUGCCUCACAGAUAGGGACAACAUUUGGAAAACGAAUGCUAAUACCUGAUAUUAUGUAGUUUUAGGGCAUCCUAGAAUUAUGAAAGCUAUAUGCACUGUGAGAGAGCUUUGCGUCCCAUUAGCUAGUUGGAGAGGUAACGGCUCACCAAGGCGAUGAGUGGGUAGCCGGCCUGAGGAGGGUGAUCGGCCACGAAGGGGACUGAGACACGGCCCUUACUCCUACGGGAGGCAGCAGUGGGGAAUAUUGGACAAUGGACCAAGAGUCUGAUCCAGCAAUUCUGUGUGCACGAUGAAGUUUUUCGGAAUGUAAAGUGCUUUCAGUUGGGAAGAAAAAAAUGACGGUACCAACAGAAGAAGUGACGGCUAAAUACGUG
Molecule: ribosomal RNA, 460 nt
Filed under: uncultured bacterium
Lineage: Bacteria
Description: bacterial SSU rRNA
Rfam family: Bacterial small subunit ribosomal RNA
Source: RNAcentral